CCUACGGGAGGCAGCAGUGGGGAAUAUUGGACAAUGGGACGAAAGUCUGAUCCAGCAAUGCCGCGUGAGUGAUGAAGGCCUUAGGGUUGUAAAGCUCUUUUACCAGGGAUGAUAAUGACAGUACCUGGAGAAUAAGCUCCGGCUAACUCCGUGCCAGCAGCCGCGGUAAUACGGAGGGAGCUAGCGUUGUUCGGAAUUACUGGGCGUAAAGCGCACGUAGGCGGUUAUUCAAGUCAGAGGUGAAAGCCCGGGGCUCAACCCCGGAACUGCCUUUGAAACUAGAUAGCUAGAAUCCUGGAGAGGUGAGUGGAAUUCCGAGUGUAGAGGUGAAAUCGUAGAUAUUCGGAAGAACACCAGUGGCGAAGGCGGCUCACUGGACAGGUAUGACGCUGAGGUGCGAAAGCGUGGGAGCAAACAGGAUUAGAUACCCUGGUAGUCCACGCCGUAAACGAUGAUAACAGCUGUCGGGCACANGGUGCCUUGGGUGCGCAAGUCUAACGCAUUAAGGUUAUCCGCUGGGAAUACGUCGCAAGAUUAAAACNAAAGAUUAGACGCNGAGAGAGCGAGACGACGACGAGGAGAG
This 583-nucleotide ribosomal RNA is filed under the name uncultured bacterium. RNAcentral describes it as "bacterial SSU rRNA". It matches the Rfam family "Bacterial small subunit ribosomal RNA", at positions 338 to 945 of the family's 1533-position model. The record is from RNAcentral.